RNAcentral lists this long non-coding RNA (1240 nucleotides) under Bos indicus x Bos taurus (hybrid cattle). Its description in RNAcentral is "lncRNA (ENSBIXG00000018318.1)". Lineage: Eukaryota; Metazoa; Chordata; Mammalia; Artiodactyla; Bovidae. The record is from RNAcentral.
GCCUUGCAUUUAAUAACCCUCUAGGGCUAAGACAGCUUUGUGUGUAAGUCCACUCGGUGCCAUAUGGCAGUUUUCAAUUCCUUUAGCAACUCAAUUCUAGCUAGACUGCCCGCAAUGAUUCAUUCUUAAAGGAAGACCCCUUGGGGCUCAGUAAUGCCCCCUCCACUUACCUAGCUCCCACCGACCCCGCUCGGCAGGCGGCUCGGGCUCCACAAAGAGCUGUGGGAUUCCCCGCUCCCUCCGGGGCUCCUCUCCCCGCGACGGUCCCCUUCGCCAAUGAUCUGUCGCUGGAAAUCCCCCUCCCCUCCACGGAGAGGAGGGUCUCCCCGGCUGGCUGGAGCUCUUGCCUUUUUUUUUUUUUUCCACCCUCUCUUUACAUGCCUGACUCUGGUUCACGAUCUCUAGUAGGAAGGCUCAACGGAGAGGCGGCGGGAGGAAGGAAGCUAAGGCAUCCUUAAAAAGAACAAUAAUCUUCAGAGAUCUUCACCCCCUUCCCCAUCGCGGGUCCCCAUUCCCCUGCCGCCGCCGGCGGCGCCCAGACCAGAGAGGGCUGGGAUAGAAAAGGAAAAAAAAUCGAGCCGGGCUCAGCUCGCCGCGCGGAAGGAGCCGGGAAGGCGAGCGGCUCCAGCCGGGGGAGUUGUCGCUCGCUCGGGCUGCCCGCGGCGCGGCGGCCGGCGGGGGCGCAGGGCGGUGGGUGCUUGGUGGGUGUGUGUCUGUGGCGGAGCCGGGGAGAGGCUGGGCGCGGGAGGCGAGGCGGGGCGCUCGGGGGCGCCGGCUCGGGCGCGCACACCCGCCCGCGGCCACCCCGCCUCGCGCUCCGCCUCCUCCCGCGCUCCGCGCGCCCGCGGACUGGAGCGGCGGCCGCCGCCGCCGCCGCCUUCUCCUCCUCUUCCUGGGCGCCCGCAGCUCUCGAGAGAACUGUGCCAAGUUCCUCCUUGGAGAGGCAGCCAGAUGGACACCCAGAACUUUCCGUAUCUUCGUGUCGAGGAUGAAAAUCUGGUUAAAACAAAUGUAGACGUUGACAAGCACAAUCUACAAAAAGGAGAGAAAAGGAAAAGAAAUAACCUAUUGGUGGUCCUCAAAGGGAUGGAGAAUGAACCACCCCUUGUGUAAUUAUAUAUGACUAUAAAAGCGGGUGCAACCUACGGACUCUGUGAGAAAAGGAACAGCUCUUUACCUGGGUAACAUCAGGUACAAGACGCCAAUUUCCAUGAAUAAAGGUAAGCAUGAUUUUUAUUCA